Non-coding RNA from Triticum urartu, 126 nucleotides. Lineage: Eukaryota; Viridiplantae; Streptophyta; Magnoliopsida; Poales; Poaceae. The record is from Rfam.
UAUGUACUCCCUCCGUCCGAAAAAUCUUGCCCCAAGCUUGUCCUUCAAAUGGAUGUAUCUAACACCAAAUUAGUGCUAGAUACAUCCAUUUGAGGGACUAGUUUUUUCGCAUGGAGGGGGUAGUUU